Molecule: ribosomal RNA, 342 nt
Filed under: uncultured bacterium
Lineage: Bacteria
Description: bacterial SSU rRNA
Rfam family: Bacterial small subunit ribosomal RNA
Source: RNAcentral
CAUGGCUCAGGACGAACGCUGGCGGCGUGCCUAAUACAUGCAAGUCGAACGAACCGCGACUGAGUGCUUGCACUUGGUCAAGGUGAGUGGCGAACGGGUGAGUAACACGUGGGUAACCUACCUCAUAGUGGGGGAUAACAGUCGGAAACGACUGCUAAUACCGCAUAGGACAUAGGAUCACAUGAUCCAGUGAGGAAAGGUGGCGCAAGCUAUCGCUAAGAGAUGGACCCGCGGUGCAUUAGCUAGUUGGUAGGGUAACGGCCUACCAAGGCGAUGAUGCAUAGCCGACCUUGGAGGUUUAUCGGCCACCUUGGGACUUGGACCCGGCCCAAACUCCUACGG